UACGGAGGGUGCAAGCGUUAAUCGGAAUUACUGGGCGUAAAGCGUGCGUAGGCGGCUUGUUAAGUCAGAUGUGAAAGCCCCGGGCUCAACCUGGGAACUGCAUUUGAUACUGGCAAGCUAGAGUUUGUAAGAGGGAAGUGGAAUUUCUAGUGUAGCGGUGAAAUGCGUAGAUAUUAGAAGGAACACCAGUGGCGAAGGCGGCUUCCUGGUACAAAACUGACGCUGAGGUACGAAAGCGUGGGGAGCAAACAGG
This 253-nucleotide ribosomal RNA is filed under the name uncultured bacterium. RNAcentral describes it as "partial 16S ribosomal RNA". It matches the Rfam family "Bacterial small subunit ribosomal RNA", at positions 524 to 776 of the family's 1533-position model. The record is from RNAcentral.